UCGAGAAUCUUGGGCAAUGCGCGAAAGCGUGACCCAGCAAUGCCGCGUGCGGGAUGAAGGUCUUCGGAUUGUAAACCGCUGUCACUCGGGACGAAAAAAAUGACGGUACCGAGGGAGGAAGCCACGGCUAACUACGUGCCAGCAGCCGCGGUAAUACGUAGGUGGCGAGCGUUGUUCGGAUUUAUUGGGCGUAAAGGGUCCGCAGGAGGUUUGUUAAAAUUGGGGUGAAAUCCCGGAGCUCAACUCCGGAACUGCCUUGAUGACUGACGAACUAGAGUGCUGGAGAGGUAAGCGGAAUACCAGGUGUAGCGGUGGAAUGCGUAGAUAUCUGGUAGAACACCAAUAGCGAAGGCAGCUUACUGGACAGCAACUGACUCUCAGGGACGAAAGCGUGGGGAGCAAACA
RNAcentral lists this ribosomal RNA (405 nucleotides) under uncultured Victivallis sp. Its description in RNAcentral is "partial 16S ribosomal RNA". It matches the Rfam family "Bacterial small subunit ribosomal RNA", at positions 355 to 774 of the family's 1533-position model. Lineage: Bacteria; Pseudomonadati; Lentisphaerota; Lentisphaeria; Victivallales; Victivallaceae. The record is from RNAcentral.